UACGUAGGGGGCAAGCGUUGUCCGGAUUUAUUGGGCGUAAAGAGCGUGUAGGCGGCCAGACAGGUCCGUUGUGAAAACUGGAGGCUUAACCUUCAGACGUCGAUGGAAACGGUCUGGCUAGAGUCCGGAAGAGGAGAGUGGAAUUCCUGGUGUAGCGGUGAAAUGCGCAGAUAUCAGGAAGAACACCCGUGGCGAAGGCGGCUCUCUAGUACGGUACUGACGCUGAGACGCGAAAGCGUGGGGAGCGAACAGG
Molecule: ribosomal RNA, 253 nt
Filed under: uncultured bacterium
Lineage: Bacteria
Description: partial 16S ribosomal RNA
Rfam family: Bacterial small subunit ribosomal RNA
Source: RNAcentral